UACGUAGGGUGCGAGCGUUGUCCGGAAUUAUUGGGCGUAAAGGGCUCGUAGGCGGUCUGUUGCGUCGGGAGUGAAAACUCAGGGCUUAACCCUGAGCCUGCUUCCGAUACGGGCAGACUAGAGGUAUGCAGGGGAGAACGGAAUUCCUGGUGUAGCGGUGAAAUGCGCAGAUAUCAGGAGGAACACCGGUGGCGAAGGCGGUUCUCUGGGCAUUACCUGACGCUGAGGUGCGAAAGCGUGGGGAGCGAACAGG
RNAcentral lists this ribosomal RNA (253 nucleotides) under uncultured bacterium. Its description in RNAcentral is "partial 16S ribosomal RNA". It matches the Rfam family "Bacterial small subunit ribosomal RNA", at positions 524 to 776 of the family's 1533-position model. The record is from RNAcentral.